This 87-nucleotide microRNA precursor is filed under the name Aedes aegypti (yellow fever mosquito). RNAcentral describes it as "microRNA aae-mir-2765 precursor". It matches the Rfam family "mir-2765 microRNA precursor family". Lineage: Eukaryota; Metazoa; Arthropoda; Insecta; Diptera; Culicidae. The record is from miRBase by way of RNAcentral.
AAACGUUUCCGGAGCCUGGUAACUCCACCACCGUUGGCGAUAUUUGACAGCCAAUGGGAGCUGGAGUUCCCGCGUGCCGAACGUUCA